Molecule: transfer RNA, 59 nt
Filed under: Apaloderma vittatum (bar-tailed trogon)
Lineage: Eukaryota; Metazoa; Chordata; Aves; Trogoniformes; Trogonidae
Rfam family: tRNA
About the family: Transfer RNA (tRNA) molecules are approximately 80 nucleotides in length. Their secondary structure includes four short double-helical elements and three loops (D, anti-codon, and T loops). Further hydrogen bonds mediate the characteristic L-shaped molecular structure. tRNAs have two regions of fundamental functional importance: the anti-codon, which is responsible for specific mRNA codon recognition, and the 3' end, to which the tRNAs corresponding amino acid is attached (by aminoacyl-tRNA synthetases). tRNAs cope with the degeneracy of the genetic code in two manners: having more than one tRNA (with a specific anti-codon) for a particular amino acid; and 'wobble' base-pairing, i.e. permitting non-standard base-pairing at the 3rd anti-codon position.
Source: Rfam by way of RNAcentral
UAGCUCAGUCGGUUAGAGCGUGGUGCUGAUAACACCAAGGUCGCGGGUUCGAUCCCCUU